Molecule: transfer RNA, 69 nt
Filed under: Acanthopleura loochooana
Lineage: Eukaryota; Metazoa; Mollusca; Polyplacophora; Chitonida; Chitonidae
Description: tRNA-Lys
Source: RNAcentral
CUCUAAGUAACCUAAACAUUUAAGGUACUAAACUUUUAAUUUAGCUAUGAUAAUGAAUAUCCUUAGGGA